Molecule: RNA transcript, 1698 nt
Organism: Lolium rigidum
Lineage: Eukaryota; Viridiplantae; Streptophyta; Magnoliopsida; Poales; Poaceae
Gene name: LON peptidase N-terminal domain and RING finger protein 1-like
Exons: 18
Source: RefSeq, a predicted model, not a curated record
AACGCCGCAUGCCCCCUCACCACCACCUCCUUCUUCUCCAACUCCAACUCCAAAGUCCAAUUCCCCCUGCUCGCCCAACCCCCAUUUCCCCCAAUCCGAUUCCUGCUCCCACCCACCGCGCUCCCCCAAUGGUGACGCCGGCCGCCUCCUUCUCCGCCGCGCUCGCCGUCGAGGACUUCCCGUGGGUCGACAGGCAGGAGGAGAUGGGGAUGGCACCGGACAAGUACCGCGAGGUGUUCGACCUCGCGCAGCGCGGCGCCCGCGCCUUCCGGGAGCGCCGCUACGACGAGGCCAUUUCCUUCUAUUCUAAAGCUCAAAACUUGAGAUCGGGAGAUCCUGUUAUCCUUAGCAAUCGAUGUUCUGCUUUCUGUUUGAUAAGUCAAGUGUUGAGGGAAAGAUCCGCAGCUGACUCAGAGUAUCAGCCACUGAAUGGCCUUGAUCCCACAACUCAUGCAGAGUUAGCUCUGAAGGAUGCAGAGAAGGUAUUAACUAUCCACAGUAAUUCUCCGAAAGCAUAUCUUCUCAAGGCAUAUGCCCUUAUUCUGCUGGAGCGAUAUCACGAGGCACGCGAGUCCCUUCUUGCUGGUCUUCAAAUCGAUCCCCUCAGCCAUAUUUUACAGACCUGUCUCAGUGAUCUGGAUAGAAAUACAAAUGCUGCCGCUGGAGCAAGACGGCCAAGGUUAGAUAGGACUGAUGAUUUUGAGUGCACAUUGUGUUUUAAGCUAUUGUUUGAACCAGUCACCACUCCAUGUGGGCACUCGUUUUGCCGCUCUUGUUUGCAUCAAUCAAUGGAUCACGGCAACAAGUGCCCCAUGUGUCGGACAGUUCUAUUUAUUGGUCCAAGAACUUAUCCUAUAAGUGUAACAUUGAACAACGUAAUUCAGAGAAACUUCCCUGAAGAAUAUGCUGAGAGGAGAUCAGAGCAUGAAACUACAACAUAUGCAGGCGUGGAUUUGAUGCCUCUCUUUGUUAUGGAUGUCGUAUUACCCUGCCAAAAGAUGGCAUUGAACAUAUUUGAACCUCGCUACAGGCUGAUGGUAAGGAGGGUAAUGGAAGGGAAUCAUCGAAUGGGAAUGGUUGCUAUUGAUUCUGCGACUGGUACUGUAGCUGACUGUGGAUGUGAGGUGGAAAUUCUAGAGUGUGAGCCACUUCCAGAUGGCCGUUUUUAUCUAGAGGUGGAAGGUUCACGGAGGUUUCGUAUCUUGCGAUCAUGGGAUGAAGAUGGGUACCGAGUUGCUGAAAUUGAAUGGUUCAAAGAUGUUUCUCUACCUGAAGGAUCACAAGAGAGAAAAGAUCUAAUCGAAAGGACCAAUGAAGCUUCAGAACUGGCCAGGACGUACAUUAGGCGUGCUAGAGAAACCACAAGGACUGGCGGACAAGACAUUUUGAUCUCGAGAGCAUGCCUGGACCACAGGACCCUGAAAAGUUCAGUUUCUGGCUUGUCAACUUGAUUAAUUUGAGGCCAUCAGACAAGUUAGACCUAUUACGCCUCCGUGAUACUCGAGAACGAAUAUCUCGUAGCCUUAGAUUAUUGGGUGAUGCAGAACAAGGUUGUCGUGUACAGUAAAAGAUUAUAUUUGUCACACAAGCAUUAUAGCUUAGAGUCAAUUUAUUCAUCAGGAGAAACAUUGACUAACGAUGUAGAUUUGUAAUAUUCUUUUACGUAAUAUGCUACUAUUGAAAUUUUACGAUUUUGUA